This is a long non-coding RNA of Saccostrea cuccullata (small rock oyster), 497 nucleotides long. RefSeq lists it as uncharacterized. The transcript is spliced from 2 exons. Lineage: Eukaryota; Metazoa; Mollusca; Bivalvia; Ostreida; Ostreidae. The record is from RefSeq and is a predicted model, not a curated record.
CUAAACCGAUUUUAUCACAGACAAAAUACAAUGUUUUCACUGUUUCACACUGUCUGCAUUAUGUUUGCACUGUUUGUUGCAAUGGUUUUUUCCCAAGAUUUCAAUGGCUGGAAUAAUGGAAAUUGGCCACCUAAUGGUUUUCCGAAUGGAUGGAAUGGAAAUGAUCUGCCCCAAAAUUGGAAUAAUCAAAACAACGGAUGGUCAUUCGGCAGAUAGUGUAGAGAAUUCAGAUUGAGAUAUAUAUGCAUCAAUAUUUUUGUAGCAACACCUACAUGCAUAUUUUGGUGCUGAUGUGCUUAUUCAAUUAGAAAGUUUUACUUAUCUACGUUUUAUAGACAAUAUAUAUGCAUAAUUUCUAUGUGAUUGUUGUAAUGUAAAUAUUAAAAUGAAAAACUUACUGUGAUCAAAUACAAUAAUUUAAUUAAUUGUCCGUCUAUCCAGAAGCAAGUUUUCAUGUCUUAGAAAAUAAAGAACAGAAAGGUUGAAGAUAAUCGCAA